Molecule: ribosomal RNA, 253 nt
Filed under: uncultured bacterium
Lineage: Bacteria
Description: partial 16S ribosomal RNA
Rfam family: Bacterial small subunit ribosomal RNA
Source: RNAcentral
UACGGGGGGGGCAAGCGUUGUUCGGAAUUACUGGGCGUAAAGGGCUCGUAGGUGGCCAACUAAGUCAGACGUGAAAUCCCUCGGCUUAACCGGGGAACUGCGUCUGAUACUGGAUGGCUUGAGUUCGGGAGAGGGAUGCGGAAUUCCAGGUGUAGCGGUGAAAUGCGUAGAUAUCUGGAGGAACACCGGUGGCGAAGGUGGCAUCCUGGACCGAGACUGACACUGAGGAGCGAAAGCCAGGGGAGCAAACGGG